UGGACGUGGGUGUGCCUCCAGUUCAGGCCCCCGAGUGGCGGACGGGCGCGUAGCUCUGAGCAGAGACGUACAGGCCCCUUCCACGACGUCCCACACGGAGCUGGUCCCGGCCGCGGCUGUGAGGACCCGGCCUGCAUAUUCCUACAUCUCCCAGAGUCCUUUGGGCCGUGACUGGGCAGAACGACCAUGCAGGACACAAAC
Boleophthalmus pectinirostris (great blue-spotted mudskipper) is the source of this 201-nucleotide small nucleolar RNA. RefSeq annotates it as small nucleolar RNA SNORA73 family. The transcript has a single exon. The record is from RefSeq and is a predicted model, not a curated record. Lineage: Eukaryota; Metazoa; Chordata; Actinopteri; Gobiiformes; Gobiidae.